AACGAACGCUGGCGGCAGGCCUAACACAUGCAAGUCGAACGCCCCGCAAGGGGAGCGGCAGACGGGUGAGUACCACGUGGGAACCUUCCCUAUAGUACGGAAUAGCCCAGGGAAACUUGGAGUAAUACCGUAUACGCCCGAAAGGGGAAAGAAUUUCGCUAUAGGAUGGGCCCGCGUAGGAUUAGCUAGUUGGUGAGGUAAUGGCUCACCAAGGCGACGAUCCUUAGCUGGUUUGAGAGAACGACCAGCCACACUGGGACUGAGACACGGCCCAGACUCCUACGGGAGGCAGCAGUGGGGAAUAUUGGACAAUGGGCGCAAGCCUGAUCCAGCCAUGCCGCGUGAGUGAUGAAGGCCUUAGGGUUGUAAAGCUCUUUUGGCGGGGACGAUAAUGACGGUACCCGCAGAAUAAGUCCCGGCUAACUUCGUG
Molecule: ribosomal RNA, 430 nt
Filed under: uncultured bacterium
Lineage: Bacteria
Description: partial 16S ribosomal RNA
Rfam family: Bacterial small subunit ribosomal RNA
Source: RNAcentral